UAGUACUACCAGUAGGACUGAAAUCAAAUCGAGAUACAUUGAUGGCCGAAAUGGCUGCGCCGUAGUAGCCUUGAGCGGGAACGCAGCAUGUACCCCUUCCAGCCCAAAAGAAAUGGAUCUCGAGGAAGUUAUUCGUCACAGGAGCUACGUAAUUCUUCUCAACAGCUGUAAAAGAUUUCUCUGCUUCCUUUUUGAUAUCAA
Molecule: unclassified non-coding RNA, 201 nt
Filed under: Hevea brasiliensis (rubber tree)
Lineage: Eukaryota; Viridiplantae; Streptophyta; Magnoliopsida; Malpighiales; Euphorbiaceae
Source: RNAcentral